RNAcentral lists this ribosomal RNA (214 nucleotides) under uncultured bacterium. RNAcentral describes it as "partial 16S ribosomal RNA". It matches the Rfam family "Bacterial small subunit ribosomal RNA", at positions 1289 to 1500 of the family's 1533-position model. The record is from RNAcentral.
CAGUUCGGAUUGUAGUCUGCAACCCGACUACAUGAAGCUGGAAUCGCUAGUAAUCGCGGAUCAGAAUGCCGCGGUGAAUACGUUCCCGGGUCUUGUACACACCGCCCGUCACACCAUGGGAGUCGGAAAUGCCCGAAGUCUGUGACCCAACCUGAGAGGGAGGGAGCGGCCGAAGGCAGGUCUGAUGACUGGGGUGAAGUCGUAACAAGGUAUC